GCCUGGGUGGCUCAGUCGGUUGAGCGUCUGACUUCAGCUCAGGUCAUGAUCUCACAGCUCGUGAGUUCGAGCCUCGUGUCCGGCU
RNAcentral lists this transfer RNA (85 nucleotides) under Felis catus (domestic cat). It matches the Rfam family "tRNA". From Rfam's summary of the family: Transfer RNA (tRNA) molecules are approximately 80 nucleotides in length. The record is from Rfam by way of RNAcentral. Lineage: Eukaryota; Metazoa; Chordata; Mammalia; Carnivora; Felidae.